AUGUUCUGCAAGGACAUGCUGGAACUGAAAGAGUCUCUCAUCAAUGCUGUAAACUUGGACGGGGAGACACCACUUAUCACCACGGUGAGAAAUGGUCACGUCUCUUUGUCUUCUUUCUUACUCGGUCAACACUGCUUUGUGCACCAUGGAUCGAGGCAGGCAAUCUUGCAACAGGACAGGUACGGAUUUAACGCACUGCACCAUGCCAUUCGCAACGGCCACAAGGAUCUUGCACUGGAGAUGAUAGCUGCACAGCCUGCGUUGUCGCAAGCUGUGGGAAAGCACAAUGAGUCACCGAUGUACUUUGCGGUGAUGAGAAAUUUUACACAGGUUUUCGAGAAACUAAUUCAAAAUCCUUUGUCUGCUUGUUCGGGAGGACAACACGGUUACAAUUGUCUACAUGCUGCAGUUAAGAAUGACCAUCAAGAAUUUGUCAAAAUAAUUAUGAAGAAACGUCCUGAAUUGGCUAGAGAAGUUGACACAGUACAAAAUACUCCAAUAGCACAUGCUGUACAAUACGACAAGAUUGACAUUUUACAAGUACUGCUGGAACAUGAUUCAACUCUAGGGUAUUUAACAAACAACAAAGGUAUGCCUCUGCUUAAUAUUGCGGCAUGGCGAGGUGUGGUUGCUGCUGCACGAAAGCUUCUGGAGCACUGCCCCGGUGCUCCUUAUCUUGAACCAAAUGGUUCGACAUGUCUUCAUGUUUAA
Molecule: ribosomal RNA, 711 nt
Filed under: Triticum aestivum (bread wheat)
Lineage: Eukaryota; Viridiplantae; Streptophyta; Magnoliopsida; Poales; Poaceae
Description: partial small subunit ribosomal RNA
Source: RNAcentral